CUUGAGAGGAGCUGUUCCUAGUACGAGAGGACCGGAAUGGACGAACCAAUGGUGUGUCGGUUGUUUUGCCAAAAGCAUAGCCGAGUAGCUACGUUCGGAAAGGAUAAGCAUUGAAAGCAUCUAAAUGCCAAGCCUCCCUUAAGAUAAGGUAUCCCUAUGAGACUCCAUGUAGACUACGUGGUUGAUAGGUUGGGUGUGUACGCACAGUAAUGUGUUUAGCUAACCAAUACUAAUAAGUCCAUUGACUUGGUUUU
Molecule: non-coding RNA, 254 nt
Organism: Chlamydia psittaci 10_743_SC13
Lineage: Bacteria; Pseudomonadati; Chlamydiota; Chlamydiia; Chlamydiales; Chlamydiaceae
Source: Rfam